RNAcentral lists this ribosomal RNA (253 nucleotides) under uncultured bacterium. Its description in RNAcentral is "partial 16S ribosomal RNA". It matches the Rfam family "Bacterial small subunit ribosomal RNA", at positions 524 to 776 of the family's 1533-position model. The record is from RNAcentral.
UACGUAGGGUGCAAGCGUUGUCCGGAAUUAUUGGGCGUAAAGAGCUCGUAGGCGGUCUGUUGCGUCGGCUGUGAAAACCCGGGGCUCAACUCCGGGCCUGCAGCCGAUACGGGCAGACUAGAGUUCGGCAGGGGAGACUGGAAUUCCUGGUGUAGCGGUGAAAUGCGCAGAUAUCAGGAGGAACACCGGUGGCGAAGGCAGGUCUCUGGGCUGACACUGACGCUCAUGCACGAAAGCGUGGGGAGCAAACAGG